Molecule: transfer RNA, 70 nt
Filed under: Pyrops candelaria (lantern bug)
Lineage: Eukaryota; Metazoa; Arthropoda; Insecta; Hemiptera; Fulgoridae
Description: tRNA-Gln
Source: RNAcentral
UGUAGUUUAAUGUAUUGAUGCAUGUUGAAUUUUGAUUUCAUUAGUUUCAGUUUAAUUCUGAAUUCUACAA